RNAcentral lists this transfer RNA (87 nucleotides) under Bacteroidota bacterium. RNAcentral describes it as "Bacteroidetes bacterium (chicken gut metagenome) tRNA-Ser". It matches the Rfam family "tRNA". Rfam says of the family: Transfer RNA (tRNA) molecules are approximately 80 nucleotides in length. Their secondary structure includes four short double-helical elements and three loops (D, anti-codon, and T loops). The record is from RNAcentral. Lineage: Bacteria; Pseudomonadati; Bacteroidota.
GGAGAGAUGGCCGAGUGGUUUAAGGCGCACGCCUGGAAAGUGUGUAUACGGGAAACCGUAUCGGGGGUUCGAAUCCCCCUCUCUCCG